Molecule: ribosomal RNA, 465 nt
Filed under: uncultured bacterium
Lineage: Bacteria
Description: partial 16S ribosomal RNA
Rfam family: Bacterial small subunit ribosomal RNA
Source: RNAcentral
AUGAACGCUGGCGGCGUGCUUCACCCCUGCCAGUCGCACGGUGAAGCCAAGCUUGCUUGGUGGAUCAGUGGCGAACGGGUGAGUAACACGUGAGCAACCUGCCCUGGACUCUGGGAUAAGCGCUGGAAACGGCGUCUAAUACUGGAUAUGAGCCUCUUCCGCAUGGUGGGGGUUGGAAAGAUUUUUUGGUCUGGGAUGGGCUCGCGGCCUAUCAGCUUGUUGGUGAGGUAAUGGCUCACCAAGGCGUCGACGGGUAGCCGGCCUGAGAGGGUGACCGGCCACACUGGGACUGAGACACGGCCCAGACUCCUACGGGAGGCAGCAGUGGGGAAUAUUGCACAAUGGGCGAAAGCCUAAUGCAGCAACGCCGCGUGAGGGAUGACGGCCUUCGGGUUGUAAACCUCUUUUAGCAGGGAAGAAGCGAAAGUGACGGUACCUGCAGAAAAAGCGCCGGCUAACUACGUG